This 431-nucleotide ribosomal RNA is filed under the name uncultured bacterium. RNAcentral's name for it is "bacterial SSU rRNA". It matches the Rfam family "Bacterial small subunit ribosomal RNA", at positions 338 to 761 of the family's 1533-position model. The record is from RNAcentral.
CCUACGGGGGGCUGCAGUAGGGAAUCUUCCACAAUGGACGAAAGUCUGAUGGAGCAACGCCGCGUGAGUGAAGAAGGUUUUAGGAUCGUAAAACUCUGUUGUUGGAGAAGAACAGGGACUAGAGUAACUGUUAGUCCUUUGACGGUAUCCAACCAGAAAGCCACGGCUAACUACGUGCCAGCAGCCGCGGUAAUACGUAGGUGGCAAGCGUUGUCCGGAUUUAUUGGGCGUAAAGCGAGCGCAGGCGGUUUUUUAAGUCUGAUGUGAAAGCCUUCGGCUUAACCGAAGAAGUGCAUUAGAAACUGGGAAACUUGAGUGCAGAAGAGGACAGUGGAACUCCAUGUGUAGCGGUGAAAUGCGUAGAUAUAUGGAAGAACACCAGUGGCGAAGGCGGCUGUCUGGUCUGUAACUGACGCUGAGGCUCGAAAGUA